UACGUAGGGGGCAAGCGUUAUCCGGAUUUACUGGGUGUAAAGGGAGCGUAGACGGCUAAGCAAGUCUGAAGUGAAAGCCCGGGGCUUAACCCCGGGACUGCUUUGGAAACUGUUAAGCUAGAGUGCUGGAGAGGUAAGUGGAAUUCCUAGUGUAGCGGUGAAAUGCGUAGAUAUUAGGAGGAACACCAGUGGCGAAGGCGGCUGUCUGGUCUGCAACUGACGCUGAGGCUCGAAAGCAUGGGUAGCGAACAGG
This 253-nucleotide ribosomal RNA is filed under the name uncultured Lachnospiraceae bacterium. RNAcentral describes it as "partial 16S ribosomal RNA". It matches the Rfam family "Bacterial small subunit ribosomal RNA", at positions 524 to 776 of the family's 1533-position model. Lineage: Bacteria; Bacillati; Bacillota; Clostridia; Lachnospirales; Lachnospiraceae. The record is from RNAcentral.